UGGGGAAUUUUGGACAAUGGGGGCAACCCUGAUCCAGCCAUCCCGCGUGUGCGAUGAAGGCCUUCGGGUUGUAAAGCACUUUUGGCAGGGAAGAAACAGCCUGGGAUAAUACCCCCGGGCGACUGACGGUACCUGCAGAAUAAGCACCGGCUAACUACGUGCCAGCAGCCGCGGUAAUACGUGGGUGCAAGCGUUAAUCGGAAUUACUGGGCGUAAAGCGUGCGCAGGCGGUUCGGAAAGAAAGGUGUGAAAUCCCAGGGCUUAACCUUGGAACUGCACUUUUAACUACCGAGCUAGAGUACGUCAGAGGGGGGUAGAAUUCCACGUGUAGCAGUGAAAUGCGUAGAGAUGUGGAGGAAUACCGAUGGCGAAGGCAGCCCCCUGGGAUGAUACUGACGCUCAUGCACGAAAGCGUGGGGAGCAAACAGGAUUAGAUACCCUGGUAGUCCACGCCCUAAACGAUGUCAACUAGCUGUUGGGGUUU
RNAcentral lists this ribosomal RNA (484 nucleotides) under uncultured bacterium. RNAcentral describes it as "partial 16S ribosomal RNA". It matches the Rfam family "Bacterial small subunit ribosomal RNA", at positions 355 to 831 of the family's 1533-position model. The record is from RNAcentral.